GCUGGGUGUGGCGGCACCAGCCUGUAGUCCCAGCUACUCAGGAGGGAGGCUGAGACUGGAGGAUCACUUGAGCCCAGGAGUUCUGGGCUGUAGUGCACUACGCCAGGUGUCUGCACUGAAUUUGUUAUUGAUAUGGUGACCUCCCAGGAGCAAGGGAUUACCAGGUUGCCUAAGAAGAGGUGAACUAGCCCAGGCUGAAAAUGAAACAGGUCAAAUCUCCCAUGCUGAUCAGUAGUGGGAUCAUGCUUUGAAUAGCCACUGAACUCUAGCCUGGACAACAUAGCCAGACCCCGUCUCU
Molecule: signal recognition particle RNA, 298 nt
Filed under: Aotus nancymaae (Ma's night monkey)
Lineage: Eukaryota; Metazoa; Chordata; Mammalia; Primates; Aotidae
Description: Metazoan signal recognition particle RNA (ENSANAG00000002938.1)
Rfam family: Metazoan signal recognition particle RNA
About the family: The signal recognition particle (SRP) is a universally conserved ribonucleoprotein. It is involved in the co-translational targeting of proteins to membranes.
Source: RNAcentral